Molecule: ribosomal RNA, 557 nt
Filed under: Loktanella sp. CPCC100563
Lineage: Bacteria; Pseudomonadati; Pseudomonadota; Alphaproteobacteria; Rhodobacterales; Roseobacteraceae
Description: bacterial SSU rRNA
Rfam family: Bacterial small subunit ribosomal RNA
Source: RNAcentral
GCGGCGGACGGGUUAGUAACGCGUGGGAACGAACCUUUUGCUUCGGAAUAGCCUCGGGAAACUGGGAGUAAUACCGAAUGUGCCCUUUGGGGGAAAGAUUUAUCGGCAAAAGAUCGGCCCGCGUCUGAUUAGAUAGUUGGUGGGGUAAUGGCCUACCAAGUCUGCGAUCAGUAGCUGGUUUGAGAGGAUGAUCAGCAACACUGGGACUGAGACACGGCCCAGACUCCUACGGGAGGCAGCAGUGGGGAAUCUUAGACAAUGGGCGCAAGCCUGAUCUAGCGAUGCCGCGUGAGUGACGAAGGCCUUAGGGUCGUAAAGCUCUUUCGCCAGGGAUGAUAAUGACAGUACCUGGUAAAGAAACCCCGGCUAACUCCGUGCCAGCAGCCGCGGUAAUACGGAGGGGGUUAGCGUUGUUCGGAAUUACUGGGCGUAAAGCGCACGUAGGCGGAUUAGAAAGUUGGGGGUGAAAUCCCAGGGCUCAACCCUGGAACUGCCUCCAAAACUACUAGUCUAGAGUUCGAGAGAGGUGAGUGGAAUUCCGAGUGUAGAGGUGAAAU